RNAcentral lists this unclassified non-coding RNA (250 nucleotides) under uncultured Xylariales. RNAcentral describes it as "sequence contains 5.8S rRNA gene, ITS2, 28S rRNA gene". Lineage: Eukaryota; Fungi; Ascomycota; Sordariomycetes; Xylariales. The record is from RNAcentral.
AACGCACAUUGCGCCCAUUAGUAUUCUAGUGGGCAUGCCUGUUCGAGCGUCAUUAAGUCCAUUAAGCCUAGUUGCUUAGCGUUGGGAGUAUUACCGCACGGUAACUCCUUAAAGUCAGUGGCAGGGUUACGGUACACUCUAAGCGUAGUAGAUUUCUUUCUCGCUUCUGUUGUGGCCGCGGCCGUUGCCAUAAACCUAUAAUUUUUUAUUGGUUGACCUCGGAUCAGGUAGGAAUACCCGCUGAACUUAA